GGAAACUUUCCCUUUAAUUAUUCUGGUGAUUAGAUGGAUGUCUUGCACAGUAUACGUGUAUAAUAUCAUGCGGCUUAUCCGAUGUUUCUGCGCGCAUGAUGAUCGCUUCGGUCGAAGCCGAGACCAAACGGGGCUUGUAUAAUUUACAUGGAUAUUAAUGCAGCCGUAGCGCGCGACGAUGGACGGCCGUCGACUCGACGAUUACCUUAAUACUCCCCAGCAAUGUUCGUCUCUAUAUACCAACCGGCCUCUCCGCAUUGUGUGCAUAUUAUUGCGGCUGUCUCGUUCCUCGAUCCCGUGUCCAGUGUUUACAAUAGAAACCUGAUGGACCCGGCAACUGCAGAGAAUCCACCUCUACCUCGCCCCCCCCCCUGCUCUCUCUCUCUCUCUCGCUCUCUUUAUCUUCCUAUCUGUCACACAAAUGCGCAUUUCACUUUGAGCUGCAUAGGGGUCACUUCAAACCCGAGGCAUAAUCCUUCAUGCAGAAUAUUCUAGCGCUAUUAGAUCUAUCCGAUCCCUCAUAAAUCCUCUCAACAGGGCCAGUCCAUUAAUGUAUUUUACAGCUAUGUGCGUAUAAAGGCAGUAAACUGGCUUCGAUCCUGAGGAUUUAUUUGGAGAGAAACCCAAACGUAAAGUCUCUGCGGAUAUUUAUUGCAAUUUGUUUUUUCGACGUCAUUAUAAAGUGCCAGAGGCUGAGUUUAUUUUU
Molecule: long non-coding RNA, 706 nt
Organism: Venturia canescens
Lineage: Eukaryota; Metazoa; Arthropoda; Insecta; Hymenoptera; Ichneumonidae
Exons: 2
Source: RefSeq, a predicted model, not a curated record